RNAcentral lists this ribosomal RNA (445 nucleotides) under uncultured bacterium. RNAcentral describes it as "partial 16S ribosomal RNA". It matches the Rfam family "Bacterial small subunit ribosomal RNA", at positions 354 to 796 of the family's 1533-position model. The record is from RNAcentral.
GUGAGGAAUAUUGGUCAAUGGACGAGAGUCUGAACCAGCCAAGUAGCGUGAAGGAUGACUGCCCUAUGGGUUGUAAACUUCUUUUAUAAGGGAAUAAAGUGAGGGACGUGUCCCUUUUUGUAUGUACCUUAUGAAUAAGGAUCGGCUAACUCCGUGCCAGCAGCCGCGGUAAUACGGAGGAUCCAAGCGUUAUCCGGAUUUAUUGGGUUUAAAGGGAGCGUAGGUUGACAUAUAAGUCAGCUGUGAAAGUUUACGGCUCAACCGUGAAAUUGCAGUUGAUACUGUAUGUAUUGAGUGUACAAGAGGUGGGCGGAAUUCGUGGUGUAGCGGUGAAAUGCUUAGAUAUCACGAAGAACUCCAAUUGCGAAGGCAGCUCACUGGGGUACAACUGACACUGAGGCUCGAAAGUGUGGGUAUCAAACAGGAUUAGAAACCCGGGUAGUCC